This 450-nucleotide ribosomal RNA is filed under the name uncultured bacterium. RNAcentral's name for it is "partial 16S ribosomal RNA". It matches the Rfam family "Bacterial small subunit ribosomal RNA", at positions 29 to 507 of the family's 1533-position model. The record is from RNAcentral.
AUGAACGCUGGCGGCGUGCCUCACACAUGCAAGUCGAGCGGCAGCGAGGGGUGCUUGCACCCUGUCGGCGAGCGGCGGACGGCUGAGUAACGCGUGGGAACGUGCCCCAAAGUGAGGAAUAACUGCCCGAAAGGGUAGCUAAUACCGCAUAUUAUCUUCGGAUCAAAGGAUUUAUCCGCUUUGGGAGCGGCUCGCGUCGGAUUAGGUAGUUGGUGAGGUAAUGGCUCACCAAGCCGACGAUCCGUAGCUGGUCUGAGAGGAUGACCAGCCAGACUGGAACUGAGACACGGUCCAGACUCCUACGGGAGGCAGCAGUGAGGAAUCUUCCACAAUGGGCGAAAGCCUGAUGGAGCAACGCCGCGUGCAGGACGAAGGCCUUCGGGUUGUAAACUGCUUUUAUAAGUGAGGAAUAUGACGGUAACUUAUGAAUAAGGAUCGGCUAACUACGUG